This 1345-nucleotide ribosomal RNA is filed under the name metagenome. RNAcentral's name for it is "bacterial SSU rRNA". It matches the Rfam family "Bacterial small subunit ribosomal RNA", at positions 63 to 1407 of the family's 1533-position model. The record is from RNAcentral.
CGAGGGGUAACAGGAGAGCUUGCUCUCGCUGACGACCGGCGCACGGGUGAGUAACGCGUAUGCAACCUACCUUUAACAGGGGGAUAGCCCGAAGAAAUUCGGAUUAAUACCCCAUACAACUAUAGAUAAGCAUUUAUUUAUAUUUAAAACUCCGGUGGUUAAAGAUGGGCAUGCGUGACAUUAGAUAGUUGGUAAGGUAACGGCUUACCAAGUCUACGAUGUCUAGGGGGUCUGAGAGGAUGGUCCCCCACACUGGUACUGGGACACGGACCAGACUCCUACGGGAGGCAGCAGUGAGGAAUAUUGCGCAAUGGAUGAAACUCUGACGCAGCCAUGCCGCGUGCAGGAUGACAGCCCUACGGGUUGUAAACUGCUUUUAUACAGGAAGAAUUUUCCGCACGUGUGCGGGAUUGACGGUACUGUACGAAUAAGCACCGGCUAACUCCGUGCCAGCAGCCGCGGUAAUACGGAGGGUGCAAGCGUUAUCCGGAUUUAUUGGGUUUAAAGGGUGCGUAGGCGGAGUAAUAAGUCAGUGGUGAAAUCCUGCAGCUUAACUGUAGAAUUGCCAUUGAUACUGUUAUUCUUGAGUUCGAUUGAGGUAGGCGGAAUGUGUAAUGUAGCGAAAAUGCUUAGAUAUUACACAGAACACCGAUUGCGUAGGCAGCUUACUAAGUCGAUACUGACGCUGAGGCACGAAAGCGUGGGGAGCGAACAGGAUUAGAUACCCUGGUAGUCCACGCCGUAAACUAUGAUCACUAGCUGUUGGCGAUACAUCGAUCAGCGGCAAAGCGAAAGCAUUAAGUGAUCCACCUGGGGAGUACGGUCGCAAGAUUGAAACUCAAAGGAAUUGACGGGGGCCCGCACAAGCGGUGGAACAUGUGGUUUAAUUCGAUGAUACGCGAGGAACCUUACCUGGGCUUAAAUGCAGAUUGACGUUUCGGGAAACCGGAAUUCCCUUCGGGGCGAUUUGCAAGGUGCUGCAUGGUUGUCGUCAGCUCGUGCCGUGAGGUGUCGGGUUAAGUCCCAUAACGAGCGCAACCCCUAUCGUUAGUUGCCAGCGGAUAAUGCCGGGGACCCUAACGAAAACUGCCGGUGUAAACCGAGAGGAAGGUGGGGAUGACGUCAAAUCAGCACGGCCCUUAUGUCCAGGGCUACACACGUGUUACAAUGGUCGGUACAGAGGGCAGCUACCUGGUGACAGGAUGCUAAUCUCGAAAGCCGGUCUUAGUUCGGAUCGAAGUCUGCAACUCGACUUCGUGAAGCUGGAAUCGCUAGUAAUCGCGUAUCGGCAACGACGCGGUGAAUACGUUCCCGGGCCUUGUACACACCGCCCGUCAAGCCAUGG